CAUGUUUUAACUAAUUUUUGUGAAUAUUUUGUGAGUUUGUGUUUCUCAUUUUAUACUAGGUUUUAGACUAGUCUCUCAAUUUUAAGAGUUUUCAAAAUAGCUUUAUUUAUUUAUUUUUUUAAGAUUUAUUUAUUUAUUUGAAAGAGUUACACAGAGAGAGGAGAUGCAGAGGGAGAGAGAGAGAGAGAGAGAGAGGUCUUCCAUCUGAUGGUUCACUACCCAAUUGGCUGCAACGGCCAGAGCUGUGCCGAUCUGAAGCAAGGAGCCAGGAGAUUCUUCUGGCUCUCCCACGUGGGUGCAGGGGCCCAAGGACUUGGGCCUUCUUCUACUGCUUGCCCAGGUCAAAACAGAGAGCUGGAUGGGAAGAGGAGCAGCCGGGACUAGAACCGGCACUUAUUUGGGAUGCCAGCACAUCAGGCCAGGGUGUUAACCCCUUGAGACACAGCACCUGCACUGCUUUAUUUAUUUAUUUAUUUAUUUAUUUAUUUAUUUAUUUUUUCUGAAACACAAUCUUAUUUAUUUGUUGUUAUUAAACCUUAUUUUUGACUGGACUCAGAUUUAGAAGUAGAUGCUCUCAGAGAAGACAGCCUACGUCUCUUGGCAAUCUGUUCCUGGCGUUUUUCUUUGGCCUCCUUCAUUCUCUUGGCCAAGAGUUUAGCAUACUCUGCAGCCUCCUCCUUGUUCUUAGUACGCUGUUUCUUCAGAGCAAUUCGCCGGCAUUUGUGUUGCAGGACACGUGGAGUAACCAGACGCUGAAUCUUGGGUGCUUUGGUCCUAGGUUUCUUACCUUCUUUGUUUAAGGGCUUUCUUUCAAGAUUGAAAAGUUUACGAAUUCUGCUGGCUCUUUUAGGACCCAGGCGACGAGGCACCGUGGUAUCAGUCAAUCCAGGAAUAUCUUUCUCUGCUUUUUUUACAAUAACCAAGUUGAGAACACUCAAAUUGAGGAAUGCCCCUUACUCAGCAGCAGGCGGACCCGCCCAUGGGUCAAGACACCUUGCUUCAUGGGAAAACCUUGUUCCAUUCUUCACCCAGAGCGUCGGCAGCAACUUCUGUGGCCAUACGCUUCUCAUAGAAAGUAUGAAGUUUACGUUCAUCGUCCACUUCGAUGAGUUUCUGUCAGCCAGUGGCUGGGAAGGAGAUAUUCAGCUUCAUUUUUCUGCUUUAUUUAUUUUUAAAGAUUAUUUGAAAGUCAGAGUUAUAGAGUGAGAGGAAAAGAUGGGGUUUGGGGGUUUGGAAAUCUUCCCUCUGAUGAUUCACUCCCCAGAUGGUCACAACAGCUAGAAUUCAAUCAAACAGAUGCCAAGAGCAAGACACUUUAUCUGAAUCUACCACAUGGGUAGAAGGGGUUCACAAACUUGGGCCACCUUCUGCUGCCUUUCCCAGGCCACUUACAUGGAGCUGAAUCAAAAGUAGAGCAGCCAAGACAGGAAUAGAUACCCACAUGGUAUACUGGAGUCACAGGUGGUGGCUUUACACACUGUCACAAUGACAGCUCCCGUCUUUAUUUUUUUUAAAGUUUUAGACUCAUUACAAAAUUGAAUGGAGUUUACAUAUAUUUCCCAAACGCCCCAUCCCUCCAACGAUACCUUUCCACCAUUAUCAAUAGCUUUCAUCAGCAUGAUUUACCUGUUGCGAUUGAUAAAUCCACAUUGACUCAUAA
Molecule: long non-coding RNA, 1660 nt
Organism: Oryctolagus cuniculus (rabbit)
Lineage: Eukaryota; Metazoa; Chordata; Mammalia; Lagomorpha; Leporidae
Source: Ensembl